RNAcentral lists this ribosomal RNA (781 nucleotides) under Pontibacter sp. RNAcentral's name for it is "bacterial SSU rRNA". It matches the Rfam family "Bacterial small subunit ribosomal RNA", at positions 88 to 871 of the family's 1533-position model. The record is from RNAcentral. Lineage: Bacteria; Pseudomonadati; Bacteroidota; Cytophagia; Cytophagales; Hymenobacteraceae.
CAGGUUAGUGGCGCACGGGUGCGUAACGCGUAUGCAACCUACCUUCCACUGGGGGAUAGCCCGCCGAAAGGCGGAUUAAUACCGCAUAAGACCACACCCCGGCAUCGGGGAGUGCUCAAAGCUGAGGCGGUGGAAGAUGGGCAUGCGUGCCAUUAGCUAGUUGGCGGGGUAAAGGCCCACCAAGGCGACGAUGGCUAGGGGUUCUGAGAGGAUGGUCCCCCACACUGGUACUGAGACACGGACCAGACUCCUACGGGAGGCAGCAGUAGGGAAUAUUGGGCAAUGGCCGAGAGGCUGACCCAGCCAUGCCGCGUGCAGGAAGAAGGCCUUCUGGGUUGUAAACUGCUUUUACCAGGGAAGAAAACGCUCUUGCGAGAGUAACUGACGGUACCUGGUGAAUAAGCACCGGCUAACUCCGUGCCAGCAGCCGCGGUAAUACGGAGGGUGCAAGCGUUGUCCGGAUUUAUUGGGUUUAAAGGGUGCGUAGGCGGCCCGUUAAGUCAGCGGUGAAAUCCCAGGGCUCAACCCUGGAACUGCCGUUGAUACUGGCGGGCUUGAGUUCGGUCGAGGCGGGCGGAACUGGUGGUGUAGCGGUGAAAUGCAUAGAUACCACCAAGAACCCCGAUUGCGAAGGCAGCUCGCUGGCCCGAAACUGACGCUGAGGCACGAAAGCGUGGGGAGCGAACAGGAUUAGAUACCCUGGUAGUCCACGCCGUAAACGAUGAUUACUCGAUGUUUGCGAUACACGGCAAGCGUCCAAGCGAAAGCGUUAAGUAAUCCA